Molecule: ribosomal RNA, 305 nt
Filed under: uncultured bacterium
Lineage: Bacteria
Description: partial 16S ribosomal RNA
Rfam family: Bacterial small subunit ribosomal RNA
Source: RNAcentral
ACAGCAGCAGCCGCCACGGUAAUACAGAGGGUGCGAGCGUUAAUCGGAUUUACUGGGCGUAAAGCGUGCGUAGGCGGCUUUUUAAGUCGGAUGUGAAAUCCCUGAGCUUAACUUAGGAAUUGCAUUCGAUACUGGGAAGCUAGAGUAUGGGAGAGGAUGGUAGAAUUCCAGGUGUAGCGGUGAAAUGCGUAGAGAUCUGGAGGAAUACCGAUGGCGAAGGCAGCCAUCUGGCCUAAUACUGACGCUGAGGUACGAAAGCAUGGGGAGCAAACAGGAUUAGAUACCCCAGUAGUCCCUGUCUCUUU